Small nucleolar RNA from Macaca fascicularis (crab-eating macaque), 100 nucleotides. The record is from Ensembl. NCBI's taxonomy places the organism in Eukaryota, Metazoa, Chordata, Mammalia, Primates, Cercopithecidae.
AUCAUUUUUAGCUCAUAAGCAUGACGAUUGGACACUCAUGCACACGUGUGAGAUGUGUCACCCUCCAACCUUGUGACGUUAGCACAUUAUUUAUCUGACA